RNAcentral lists this ribosomal RNA (241 nucleotides) under uncultured bacterium. RNAcentral's name for it is "partial 16S ribosomal RNA". It matches the Rfam family "Bacterial small subunit ribosomal RNA", at positions 524 to 765 of the family's 1533-position model. The record is from RNAcentral.
UACGUAGGGGCCGAGCGUUGUCCGGAAUUACUGGGCGUAAAGCGCGCGUAGGCGGCUUUGCAAGUCGGGUGUGAAAUCCCCAGGCUUAACCUGGGAACUGCAUUCGAGACUGCAUUGCUAGAGUAUGGGAGAGGGAAGUGGAAUUUCCGGUGUAGCGGUGAAAUGCGUAGAUAUCGGAAGGAACAUCAGUGGCGAAAGCGACUCCUGGACCAAUACUGACGCUCAUGUGCGAAAGCGUGGG